Molecule: non-coding RNA, 27 nt
Filed under: Mus musculus (house mouse)
Lineage: Eukaryota; Metazoa; Chordata; Mammalia; Rodentia; Muridae
Source: RNAcentral
CNGGCAGUGUUGAAUUCUUGGGCUUAA